RNAcentral lists this ribosomal RNA (253 nucleotides) under uncultured bacterium. RNAcentral describes it as "partial 16S ribosomal RNA". It matches the Rfam family "Bacterial small subunit ribosomal RNA", at positions 524 to 776 of the family's 1533-position model. The record is from RNAcentral.
UACGUAGGUGGCAAGCGUUGUCCGGAAUUACUGGGCGUAAAGGGCGUGUAGGCGGCCUUUUAAGUCAGACGUGAAAUCUCCAGGCUUAACCUGGAAACUGCGUUUGAAACUGGAGGGCUUGAGGAUCGGAGAGGGCAGUGGAAUUCCCAGUGUAGCGGCGAAAUGCGUAGAUAUUGGGAGGAACACCAGUGGCGAAGGCGACUGCCUGGACGACACCUGACGCUGAGGCGCGAAAGCUAGGGGAGCAAACGGG